UACGGAGGAUGCGAGCGUUAUCCGGAUUUAUUGGGUUUAAAGGGUGCGUAGGCGGAUUUUUAAGUCAGCGGUAAAAUGUCCGAGCUCAACCCGGGCCGGCCGUUGAAACUGGGGAUCUUGAGUGGGCGAGAAGUAUGCGGAAUGCGUGGUGUAGCGGUGAAAUGCAUAGAUAUCACGCAGAACUCCGAUUGCGAAGGCAGCAUACCGGCGCCCGACUGACGCUGAGGCACGAAAGCGUGGGGAUCGAACAGG
This 252-nucleotide ribosomal RNA is filed under the name uncultured bacterium. Its description in RNAcentral is "partial 16S ribosomal RNA". It matches the Rfam family "Bacterial small subunit ribosomal RNA", at positions 524 to 776 of the family's 1533-position model. The record is from RNAcentral.